RNAcentral lists this transfer RNA (62 nucleotides) under marine eukaryotic metagenome. It matches the Rfam family "tRNA", at positions 6 to 65 of the family's 71-position model. From Rfam's summary of the family: Transfer RNA (tRNA) molecules are approximately 80 nucleotides in length. Their secondary structure includes four short double-helical elements and three loops (D, anti-codon, and T loops). The record is from RNAcentral.
CAUAGCUCAGUGGACAGAGCACCGGGCUUCGAACCCGGGUGUCGGGGGUUCGAGUCCCUCUG